GGAGAGGUGGCCGAGUGGUUGAAGGUGCUCGCUUGGAAAGCGAGUGUACUUGAAAAGGUACCGGGGGUUCGAAUCCCUUCCUCUCCG
RNAcentral lists this transfer RNA (87 nucleotides) under Cyclobacteriaceae bacterium. Its description in RNAcentral is "tRNA-Ser". It matches the Rfam family "tRNA". Rfam says of the family: Transfer RNA (tRNA) molecules are approximately 80 nucleotides in length. Lineage: Bacteria; Pseudomonadati; Bacteroidota; Cytophagia; Cytophagales; Cyclobacteriaceae. The record is from RNAcentral.